This 1798-nucleotide long non-coding RNA is filed under the name Triticum aestivum (bread wheat). Its description in RNAcentral is "long non-coding RNA (TAES_LNC019543)". The record is from RNAcentral. Lineage: Eukaryota; Viridiplantae; Streptophyta; Magnoliopsida; Poales; Poaceae.
CCAUUUGCAGCGCCAUGGCUGACCUCAACAUCCUUUUUUUUUCUUGAGGUGAUUGCCUCACAUCUUGGGCAUGAACCAUGAGAGGUUCACCUGGGGUCGAUCGAUCUCGCUCACGCCGUUUGCUACCAGGUUUCUUCGCAACAGCUGUUUUGAAGUUGGCAGCCAGGACCAUGAGCAACGUAAACACGCAAUUGGAUCGAUGGGAGCUUGGAACUUCUCCCCAUUAAUGUGCCGCCAGCGUCUUCCACCGUUUUAUGAAAUGUACUACCCGCUGCUCCUAAAUACAGUACAAGUCUUUUUAAUGAUUUUAAUAUGAACUACAUAUGGAGCAAAAUAAGUGAAUCUACACUCUAAAAUAUGUCUAUAUACAUCUGUAUGUAAUCCUUAUUGAAAUUGAAAUCUCUAAAAAGACAUAUUUUUUUAAGGACGGAGGGAGUACUACGGAGUGUGUAAGUAGUUCCAGUGAUACUUUUCCUGCCCUAUCUGCCGCCAAUGCUUCACUUGUUCCGUGUUGGAAUGGGGCAUAUCUUUCGUUGCCCAUUAGUAUAGACGCCAAUGAGCAAUCAAACUAGUUUCCUCAUCGUAUCCUCUUGGGUUGUGCAGAGUUUGCAGUGAAAAACAUAAUCAGCUGUUAUUUGCAUAACUCUUCCAGUGUGAAUUACUACUACAAUCAGCAAAACUGCAUCCAUGUCAUUAUGGAUUUUGCACACAAAAAAACAUGAUACAGAAGCAUUGCAGAGGGCAGAUAAAACUUGCUAUCCAAAUCAUGGAAACAAAACUCAAUAGCGACAGACAGUCAACAGCAUCUCGCUAGUACAACUUCAGGUUACGUAUAUAGGAAUGAAAAUGCUAAAUGGUGGACGAGCUCCAUGGAGCUCGUUUUUUUGAAAAAAAAAACCCCGGAAAUUAUAGCUCCCAAGUUUCAAAAAAUCCUAAAAAGAUCACACGCGUUCAUACAGAUGUAAAUUUUAAAGAUGAUACUAUAAAUUAAUGGCGAGAGCUUCACUAGUUAGAGAAAAUCGUGAUUCUGAAAAUGGUGAACAUGUUUUGUGUAGCUCUUCAUCGUUAGAACGUGUAGAUUUUUCUCAGAAUAUUUUUAUUCAAAAUGUGUUUUUUGCUUCUUUUUGCUCAGGACAUUAAUAAUAUCCAAUCUAACCCAAAUAUCCAAUCCAAUUCACAGGUCGAUUGGUAUGGAUUUUUUUUCAGUACUACAGUACUGCAAAACUAUCUCAUCAUGCAAAAAAGAUUUUUUAAACAAACAUCAACAACAUAACACAGACAAUCAUAGCACAUGAGAUAAAACCCACUAGCCAGCAGAGUAACACAGCAACAAUAUAUAUCCAGAUCAUGGAAACAAUACUCUUAAUAGCAACUGUUAAGAGAAAGCAACAGCAGAGAAGGAACAAAUCUCGCUAGUACAACUUCAGGUUAUAUAGGACAUUGUAAACAUAGCAGGCAACUUUCCUCCUCAAACGACCAGAGCCUUACAGUCCAUUCCAUCCUUGCCUAACAAAAAUGCAACCUAAGACCUGGGCUUCUCCUUCUUCUCCUUGAAGAGAGCGAGAAGCGACACACCAGAUACCUUGACAACCUUGAACCUGACACCGGGAAUAUCUCCCACGGCAUGACCCUUACGACCGAAUCCAGCAAUCAGCACCUCGUCCUGAAGCAUCCAUCAAGUCAAGAGGUUAGGUUGGUUGCAUAUAGCAGACAUAUCACAUAUAUGCGAGCAAUGGAGGUUAGGUUGGCUGCAUAUAGCAGACAUAUCGCAUAUAUCUGAGAAAUGGGUGAGGGGCAC